This 482-nucleotide ribosomal RNA is filed under the name uncultured bacterium. RNAcentral describes it as "partial 16S ribosomal RNA". It matches the Rfam family "Bacterial small subunit ribosomal RNA", at positions 30 to 507 of the family's 1533-position model. The record is from RNAcentral.
AUUGAACGCUGGCGGCAUGCCUUACACAUGCAAGUCGAACGGUAACAGGUCUUCGGAUGCUGCCGAGUGGCGAACGGGUGCGUAAUACAUCGGAACGUGCCCGAUCGUGGGGGACAACGAGGCGAAAGCUUUGCUAAUACCGCAUACGAUCUACGGAUGAAAGCGGGGGAUCUUCGGACCUCGCGCGGACGGAGCGGCCGAUGGCAGAUUAGGUAGUUGGUGGGAUAAAAGCUUACCAAGCCGACGAUCUGUAGCUGGUCUGAGAGGAUGAUCAGCCACACUGGGACUGAGACACGGCCCAGACUCCUACGGGAGGCAGCAGUGGGGAAUUUUGGACAAUGGGCGAAAGCCUGAUCCAGCCAUGCCGCGUGCAGGAUGAAGGCCUUCGGGUUGUAAACUGCUUUUGUACGGAACGAAAAGCCUCUUUCUAAUAAAGAGAGGUCAUGACGGUACCGUAAGAAUAAGCACCGGCUAACUACGUG